UGAUUUCAAUCUUAUUGGUAC
This 21-nucleotide non-coding RNA is filed under the name Caenorhabditis elegans. The record is from RNAcentral. Lineage: Eukaryota; Metazoa; Nematoda; Chromadorea; Rhabditida; Rhabditidae.